AACACAUGCAAGUCGAGCGAGAAAGCCCCCGCAAGGGGGUGAGUAAAGCGGCGAACGGGUGAGUAACACGUGGGCAACCUGCCCUUCAGUCAGGAAUAACCCCGCGAAAGCGGGGCUAAUACCAGAUGACGUCCUCUGGGGGCAUCCUCGGGGGACCAAAGGGGGCGAGCGCAAGCGGCUCCCGCUGAAGGAUGGGCCUGCGGCUGAUUAGCUAGUUGGUAGGGUAACGGCCUACCAAGGCGACGAUCAGUAGCCGACCUGAGAGGGUGACCGGCCACACUGGGACUGAGACACGGCCCAGACUCCUACGGGAGGCAGCAGUGGG
RNAcentral lists this small RNA (325 nucleotides) under uncultured bacterium. RNAcentral describes it as "bacterial SSU rRNA". It matches the Rfam family "Bacterial small subunit ribosomal RNA", at positions 50 to 358 of the family's 1533-position model. The record is from RNAcentral.